Molecule: ribosomal RNA, 254 nt
Filed under: uncultured bacterium
Lineage: Bacteria
Description: partial 16S ribosomal RNA
Rfam family: Bacterial small subunit ribosomal RNA
Source: RNAcentral
UACGGGGGGGGGCAAGCGUUGUUCGGACUUACUGGGCGUAAAGGGCUCGUAGGCGGCCAACUAAGUCAGACGUGAAAUCCCUCGGCUUAACCGGGGAACUGCAUCUGAUACUGGAUGGCUUGAGUUCGGGAGAGGGAUGCGGAAUUCCAGGUGUAGCGGUGAAAUGCGUAGAUAUCUGGAGGAACACCGGUGGCGAAGGCGGCAUCCUGGACCGACACUGACGCUGAGGAGCGAAAGCCAGGGGAGCAAACGGG